Molecule: ribosomal RNA, 767 nt
Filed under: uncultured Streptococcus sp.
Lineage: Bacteria; Bacillati; Bacillota; Bacilli; Lactobacillales; Streptococcaceae
Description: bacterial SSU rRNA
Rfam family: Bacterial small subunit ribosomal RNA
Source: RNAcentral
GAUGAACGCUGGCGGCGUGCCUAAUACAUGCAAGUAGAAACGCUGAAAGCUUGGUGCUUGCACCGAGCGGAUGAGUUGCGAACGGGUGAGUAACGCGUAGGUAACCUGCCUCUUAGCGGGGGAUAACUAUUGGAAACGAUAGCUAAUACCGCAUAAAAGUCGAUAUCGCAUGAUAUUGACUUGAAAGGUGCAAUUGCAUCACUAAGAGAUGGACCUGCGUUGUAUUAGCUAGUUGGUGAGGUAACGGCUCACCAAGGCGACGAUACAUAGCCGACCUGAGAGGGUGAUCGGCCACACUGGGACUGAGACACGGCCCAGACUCCUACGGGAGGCAGCAGUAGGGAAUCUUCGGCAAUGGGGGCAACCCUGACCGAGCAACGCCGCGUGAGUGAAGAAGGUUUUCGGAUCGUAAAGCUCUGUUGUAAGAGAAGAACGAGUGUGAGAGUGGAAAGUUCACACUGUGACGGUAACUUACCAGAAAGGGACGGCUAACUACGUGCCAGCAGCCGCGGUAAUACGUAGGUCCCGAGCGUUAUCCGGAUUUAUUGGGCGUAAAGCGAGCGCAGGCGGUUAGAUAAGUCUGAAGUUAAAGGCUGUGGCUUAACCAUAGUACGCUUUGGAAACUGUUUAACUUGAGUGCAGAAGGGGAGAGUGGAAUUCCAUGUGUAGCGGUGAAAUGCGUAGAUAUAUGGAGGAACACCGGUGGCGAAAGCGGCUCUCUGGUCUGUAACUGACGCUGAGGCUCGAAAGCGUGGGGAGCAAACAGG